Molecule: long non-coding RNA, 761 nt
Filed under: Pandoravirus salinus
Description: putative ncRNA
Source: RNAcentral
CCCGCGUCGACCGGCGCGUGCCCGUUGCCACCGUCGGGCACGGUUGCGCCGACGUUUUCCCUAAACGAGCCAUCGGUGUCGUCGCGGGUUUUGUCGCAGGGAUCGUGGUUGUCGCCGUGGUCGGCAUUGUCGGUCGACUCGAUGUGCAUGGUCGCCGUGUCGAGGCUCGCAGACAUGGCAGAGGCUCGUCAAAGAAAAAAAAAGUGUCCAGAAAAAGGGGGGGGGCGUGCGCGUGAUGCGCUCGGUCGGUUGUCGCUCUCUCUCUCUCUCCCUCGCGAUCUUGCGUAUAUUUUUGUCUUACUUUCGGCGCUCCCUUUCGUGCUUCUUUCGUGCUUCUUUCGUGCCUCCUUUUCUUUUCGACGCGCGCGCUGCCGCAAGGUCGAAAGGGCGACGAAAGAGGAAGAGAGAAGAAGAAAGACAAAAGUGUCGGUUGGGCGCCGAGAUCGAGGAAGGAAGAGCCGAGGCACCAAAGAGCGCGCAAGAAAAAAAAAGAAACUUGCAGCGAGGCACCAAAAAUGCCGACGGCAGCGGGCCAAAGAGAAGAAACAAAGAGCAGGAGGAAAAGAAAACAAGAGGCGGUGCAGUAGUGCCAACAAUAACCUGCCGACCGCCGAGGCACACCCCUUUUCAACCGCGCGCCCCUCGUCCGUGGGCGCCCGUUGACCGUCGACAUAAAAAAUAAAGCGCGCGCUCCUGCUGGUGGAGCGAAAUUCCGCCAAUGCAAAGGAUUCCUUUUUCUCAUUGGAGCGCGUCGGUCGUGC